AGAUUGGUCCCUUACUUCCUGUGCCUGGUAUUUUCCUUUCUUAUUUUAUGCCUUUUGUUGUGUUCCAUUUUUAAGAUCUUUUAAAGAAAGGAAACAGGAAAAAUUUCCACCUCCUAUUCUGAAAGCGACUUUAAUUUGACUGGUAUGAAUUGUGGCUUAAGAUGCGAGGGCUACAGGCAGGGUCCUGCUGCCUCCCUUGGCCAUGAGGACCGUGGGGCUUCUCAUUCCCGUCCUUCCCUCCUAAGCUUUUCUGACAGUGGAAGCCUAUGUAUGGUGCUCUGCUUUCUGGGCUGGUAUUUAUUCUUUGAUUAGGCUAUUUAGAAAGAUUCAGGUUUUAAAAAAUAUAUUGUUUUUCAAGACAGGGUUUCUUGGUUUAGCCCUGGCUGUCCUGGAACUCACUUUGUAGACCGGGUGUCCUCAAACACAACAGACAUUGCCUGCCCCUGCCUCUGCCUCCGGAGUGUUGGGAUUAAAGCUGUGUGCCACUUUAUGUGACAGAUUCAGGCUUUUAUCUGCCUAGUAACCCCUCUCUGCCAUUUUAUCAUCUCAGGAACUUGUGCUUUCCCACAGUUACAGUGUCCUGAUGUUUCCUGGAUGGGAAUGUUCAAGGAUACAGUAUAUCAUGGCAGGAAAUUCGCAGCGACAGGAGCUGGAGGCACACUCACGUUGCAGAGACAGCUGGGAAGCAGAUGCAGAACUCAGCUCAUCUACAGCAGAUGUCCUCAAGUGUGCCAUCAUGCUUCUGCUCGGACGAGAGUGGACUAACCCUCUGAACUGUAAGCCAGCCCCAAUAAAACGUUUUCCU
Molecule: long non-coding RNA, 805 nt
Organism: Mus musculus (house mouse)
Lineage: Eukaryota; Metazoa; Chordata; Mammalia; Rodentia; Muridae
Gene: D4Ertd617e
Product: DNA segment, Chr 4, ERATO Doi 617, expressed
Exons: 3
Source: RefSeq, marked validated